RNAcentral lists this non-coding RNA (30 nucleotides) under Mus musculus (house mouse). The record is from RNAcentral. Lineage: Eukaryota; Metazoa; Chordata; Mammalia; Rodentia; Muridae.
UGAGGCCUUGUCCACAGGUCUUGUGGAUGG